Molecule: ribosomal RNA, 220 nt
Filed under: uncultured bacterium
Lineage: Bacteria
Description: partial 16S ribosomal RNA
Rfam family: Bacterial small subunit ribosomal RNA
Source: RNAcentral
UACGAAGGGGGCUAGCGUUGCUCGGAAUCACUGGGCGUAAAGCGCACGUAGGCGGACUCUUAAGUCAGGGGUGAAAUCCUGGAGCUCAACUCCAGAACUGCCUUUGAUACUGAGAGCCUUGAGUCCGGAAGAGGUAAGUGGAACUGCGAGUGUAGAGGUGAAAUUCGUAGAUAUUAGGAAGAACACCGGUGGCGAAGGCGGCCCACUGGUCCGGUACUGA